UCAAGUUAUUAAGGGUGCAGGGCGGAUGCCUUGGCACUAGGAGCCGAUGAAGGACGUGAUAAGCUGCGAUAAGCUUCGGGGAGUUGCACGUAAACUUUGAUCCGAAGAUUUCCGAAUGAGGAAACUCACUUAGAGUAAUGUCUAAGUAUCAUUAAGUGAAUACAUAGCUUAAUGAGGGGAACUCAGGGAACUGAAACAUCUAAGUACCUGAAGGAAGAGAAAGAAAUUCGAUUCCGUAAGUAGCGGCGAGCGAACGCGGAUUAGCCCAAACCAAUAAAGUUUUCUUUAUUGGGGUUGCGGACAUAUCAUAACGAAGAGGUAUCGUAAUUGAAGAGGUUUGGAAAGACCCACCACAGAAGGUAAUAGUCCUGUAUGUUAAACGAGAAGACUUCAGAUAUGAUCCAGAGUACCACGGGACACGUGAAACCCUGUGGGAAGCAGGAGGGACCACCCUCCAAGGCUAAAUACUACCUAGUGACCGAUAGCGUAUAGUACCGUGAGGGAAAGGUGAAAAGAACCCCGGGAGGGGAGUGAAAUAGAACCUGAAACCCUGCACUUACAAGCUGUGGAAGCACAUUUCUUGUGUGACCGCGUACUUUUUGUAGAACGGGCCAACGAGUUACGUUAAGUAGCAAGGUUAAGCACUUAAGGUGCGGAGCCGUAGCGAAAGCGAGUUUUAACUGAGCGUUCAGUUACUUGACGUAGACCCGAAACCGGGCGACCUACCCAUGAGCAGGAUGAAGCGAAAGUAAAAUUUCGUGGAGGUCCGAACCCACGAGCGUUGAAAAGCUCGGGGAUGACUUGUGGGUAGCGGUGAAAUUCCAAUCGAGCCCGGAGAUAGCUGGUUCUCCCCGAAAUAGCUUUAGGGCUAGCCUCAAGGUGAGAGAUACGGAGGUAGAGCACUGAAUGUCCUAGGGGGUAUUGCACCUACCGAAGACUAUCAAACUCCGAAUGCCGUCAUCUUAUACUUGGGAGUCAGACUGUGGGUGAUAAGAUUCAUAGUCGAAAGGGCAACAGCCCAGAUCGUCAGCUAAGGUCCCUAAAUGUAAGUUAAGUGGUAAAGGAUGUGGGAUUGCACAGACAACCAGGAUGUUGGCUUAGAAGCAGCCACUCAUUCAAAGAGUGCGUAAUAGCUCACUGGUCGAGUGAUCCUGCGCCGAAGAUUUCCGGGGCUAAAACUUACUACCGAAGCUACGGCAUCAGUAAUGAUGGGUAGGGGAGCUUCCCAUACGGGUUGAAGCAUGACCGUAAGGACAUGUGGACAGUAUGGGAGUGAGAAUGUUGGCAUGAGUAGCGAGAUGUGGGUGAGAAUCCCACAGGCCGUAAACCCAAGGUUUCCAGGGGAAGGUUCGUCCGCCCUGGGUUAGUCGGGACCUAAGCUGAGGCCGAAAGGCGUAGGUGAUGGACAACAGGUUGAUAUUCCUGUACUACCGAUAACCGUUUGAGAGAAGGGAUGACACAGUAGGAUAAGCUAAGCACACUGUUGGUUAUGUGUGCCCAAGCAUUGAGGCAGUCAAAGUAGGCAAAUCCGCUUUGAUAAUGCUGGGAUGUGAUGGGGAGCGAAAUUUAGUAGCGAAGUAGCUGAUUUCACACUGUCAAGAAAAGUCUCUAUCGAGGUUAAAGGUACCCGUACCGCAAACCGACACAGGUGGGUGAGGAGAGUAUCCUAAGGCCAGCGAGAGAACUGUUGUUAAGGAACUCGGCAAAAUGACCCCGUAACUUAGGGAUAAGGGGUGCCACCAUCAGGUGGCCGCAGAGAAUAGGCCCAAGCGACUGUUUACCAAAAACAUAGGUUUCUGCUAAGUCGCAAGACGAUGUAUAGGAGCUGACGCCUGCCCGGUGCUGGAAGGUUAAGGGGAUCUGUUAGAGCAAUCGAAGCAGUGAACUUAAGCCCCAGUAAACGGCGGCCGUAACUAUAACGGUCCUAAGGUAGCGAAAUUCCUUGUCGGGUAAGUUCCGACCCGCACGAAAGGCGUAACGAUUUGGGCACUGUCUCAACAACAGACUCGGUGAAAUUGUAAUUCCGGUGAAGAUGCCGGAUACCUGCGACAGGACGGAAAGACCCCAUGGAGCUUUACUGUAGCUUGACAUUGGGUCUUGGUACUACAUGUACAGGAUAGGUGGGAGGCUUUGAAACCAGGACGCCAGUUUUGGCGGAGCCAUCCUUGGGAUACCACCCUUGUAGUACUGGGACUCUAACCAUAGGCCAUGAAUCUGGUCUUGGGACACUGUCAGGUGGGCAGUUUGACUGGGGCGGUCGCCUCCCAAAAGGUAACGGAGGCGCUCAAAGGUUCUCUCAGUACGGUCGGAAAUCGUACGUAGAGUGUAAAGGCAAAAGAGAGCUUGAUUGCAAGACAUACAGGUCGAGCAAGGAUGAAAAUCGGACUUAGUGAUCCGGUGGUUCUGCGUGGAAGGGCCAUCGCUCAACGGAUAAAAGCUACCCUGGGGAUAACAGGCUUAUCUCCCCCAAGAGUCCACAUCGACGGGGAGGUUUGGCACCUCGAUGUCGGCUCAUCACAUCCUGGGGCUGUAGUAGGUCCCAAGGGUUGGGCUGUUCGCCCAUUAAAGUGGUACGCGAGCUGGGUUCAGAACGUCGUGAGACAGUUCGGUCCCUAUCCGUCGCAGGCGUAGGAAAUUUGAGAAGACCUGUCCUUAGUACGAGAGGACCGGGAUGGACGUACCUCUGGUGUACCAGUUGUUCUGCCAAGGGCAUGGCUGGG
Molecule: ribosomal RNA, 2720 nt
Filed under: Clostridioides difficile T11
Lineage: Bacteria; Bacillati; Bacillota; Clostridia; Peptostreptococcales; Peptostreptococcaceae
Description: bacterial LSU rRNA
Rfam family: Bacterial large subunit ribosomal RNA
Source: RNAcentral